Molecule: long non-coding RNA, 524 nt
Organism: Orcinus orca (killer whale)
Lineage: Eukaryota; Metazoa; Chordata; Mammalia; Artiodactyla; Delphinidae
Exons: 2
Source: RefSeq, a predicted model, not a curated record
CGUAUUUUUCAAAAGCUCAGCAGAUGAUACUAGGGUGUAGUAGGGGCUGAGCAUCGCUGGACAAGGUUCUCGCUGCUUAGAGUGUGGUUCAGGGAUCAGCAGCGUCGACCUCGCCUGCAAGUGUCAGAGCCUCACCUGCAAGUGUCAGAGCCUCACCUGCAAGUGUCAGAGCCACAAAACCUCAGGCCGCGCCUCGCCCGAGACCUACUGCAUCAGAGCUGUAUUUUAACAAGAUCCCCUGGUGGUUCACAUGCACACGGACAUUUCAGGAGCACUGGAUUAGAUGACUUCCAAGGUCACUUUCCGCCCUGAGAGAUCUCAGUGACGCUCUAGCAGCAGCUCCAGGAAUCUGGACCUGGAAACUUCCCUUCUGGCACAGAACUGCCAGACCUUUAUUUUGUCAAGAUGCCAAAACAAAACGAAAUGAAGUGAAAAACAAACAACUCGCAUCACCACGAUUUCUUUUUUUUUUUUAAAGAAGGGCACUUUCAUGCCAAAUAAAUAAAUAAAGCUCUUGACAUAGC